AUUGAACGCUGGCGGAAUGCUUUACACAUGCAAGUCGAGCGGCAGCGCGGGGGCAACCCUGGCGGCGAGCGGCGAACGGGUGAGUAACAUAUCGGAACGUACCCCGUCGUGGGGGAUAACACAGCGAAAGCUUUGCUAAUACCGCAUACGACCUGAGGGUGAAAGCGGGGGACCGCAAGGCCUCGCGCGAUGGGAGCGGCCGAUAUCGGAUUAGCUUGUUGGUGAGGUAAAGGCUCACCAAGGCGACGAUCCGUAGCUGGUCCGAGAGGACGACCAGCCACACUGGAACUGAGACACGGUCCAGACUCCUACGGGAGGCAGCAGUGGGGAAUUGUGGACAAUGGGGGCAACCCUGAUCCAGCCAUUCCGCGUGAGUGAAGAAGGCCUUCGGGCUGUAAAGCUCUUUCGGCAGGAACGAAACGGCGCGCUCUAACAUAGCGUGUCAAUGACGGUACCUGAAGAAGAAGCACCGGCUAACUACGUGCCAGCCGCCGCAGUAA
This 500-nucleotide ribosomal RNA is filed under the name uncultured bacterium. RNAcentral's name for it is "partial 16S ribosomal RNA". It matches the Rfam family "Bacterial small subunit ribosomal RNA", at positions 29 to 523 of the family's 1533-position model. The record is from RNAcentral.